CAGAGAUUUCCCGCGUAUCCUCUGCCCCGACACAGGUAUAGCCUCCCCCUUGUUAACACCCCUCACCUGAGCGGCACAUUUGUUGCACCAACACAUCAUCAUCACCCAAAGCCCAGGUGUUUACGGUGUUAUUCAUUCUUGAUGUUAUACAUUGAAUAGCUUUUGGCAAAUGUGUAAUAGCGUGUAUCUGCCAUUAUAUUACCAUGCAGAGGAGUUUCAUGGCCUUGAACAUGCUCUGUGCUUUGCUUAUUCAUCCCUCCUUCCCCCAACCCCUGAAGAUCACUGAUUUGUUGUUGUUGUUGUUACUAUCUUUAUGGUUUUGCCUUUUCCAGAAUGUCAUAUAGUUGCAGUCAUACGGUAUGUAGCCUUUUCAGAUUGGCUUCUUCCAGAUUCUUCCAUGUUUUUCCAUGGCUUAAUAACUCAUUUCUUUUUAGCGCUGAAUAAUAUUCCAUUGCCUGGAUGUACCACAGUUGAGCUAUCCAUUCGCCCACUGAAGGAUAUCUUGGUUGCCACAUCCAAGUUUUGACAUUUAGAAAACUGCUAUAAACGUUUGUGUGCAGGUUUUUUCAUGUAGGUGAGUUUUCAAUUCCUUGGGCAAACACCAAGAACACAAUUACUGGAUCGUAUAGUAAAAGUAAGUUUAAUUGUGUGAGAAACUGCCAAACGGUCUUCCAGAGUGGCUGUAGCAUUUUGCAUUUCCAUCGGCAGUGAAUGAGAGUUCCUUUUGCUCCACACCUUCAUCCACAUUUGAUGUUGUCAUGUUGCGGAUUUUGGCCUUUCUUGUGGGCAUAUACUGGCAUCGCAUUGUUUUAAUUUGCCUUUCCCUAAUGACAUAUUAUAGUCUUUUUCACAUGCUUACUCGCUAUCUGUAUACCUUCUUUGAUGAAGUAUCUGUAAAGAUCUUUGGCCUGUUUCUUAGUCAGUUUGUUCAUUUUCUUAUUGUUCAGGUUUUAAAGUCCUUUGUAUAUUUUGGAUAACAGUCCUUUAUCAGAUCUUCCCUUUGUCAAUAUUUUCUCCCAGUCUGUGGCCUGUCUUCAUUUUCUUGAUGAUGUCUUUUAAAGAAUUAUAAUUUUUUUUUAUUUUAAUGAAAUCCAGUUUAUCAGUUAUUUCUUUUAUGGGUUGUGCCUUUGGUGUUACACCUAAAAAGUCAUCACCAAACUCAAGGUCAUCUAGCUUUUCUGUUAUCUUCUUGGAAUUUCAUAGUUUUGCGUUUUAUAUCUAGAUCGGAGAUUUAUUUUGAGUUAGUUUUUGUGAAGAGUGUAAGAUCUGUGUCUAAAUUCUUUUUUUUUGCAUGUGAAUGUCCAGUAGUUCCAGUAUCAUUUGCUGAAAAGAUGGUCUUUGUUCCAUUGUGUUGCCUUUACUCUUUUGUCAAGUAUCAGUUGACUGUAUUUAUUUGGUGCUCUUUCUGGCUCUCUAUUGUGUUCUUUUGAUAUACUUGUCUAUUAUUUCACCAGUAGACACUGUCUUAGUUUUUCUUUUCCUUUAUGGUUUAUUACAAGAUAUUGAAUAGAGUUCCCUCUGCUGUAUAGUAGGACCUUGUUGUUUAUCCAUUUGAAAUGUAAUAGUUUGCAUCUGCUAACCCCAAACUCCUAGUCCAUCCCUCCACCUUGACAACCACAAGUCUGCUCUCUCUGUCUGUGAGUCUGUUUCUCUCUUGUAAAUAAGUUCGUUUGUGUCAUGAAUUUUAGAUUCCACAUAUAACUGAUAUGGUGUUUGUCUUUCUCUGUCUGAUUUACUUCACUUAGUAUGACAGUCUCUAGUUGUAUCCAUGUUGCUGCAAAUGCCAUUAUUUUAUUCUUUUUUAUGGCUGAGUAGUAUUCUGGUGUGUGUGUGUGUGUGUGUGUGUGUGUGUGUGUGUGUGUGUGUGUAUACCACAUCUUUAUAUAUUCAUCUGUCGAUGGACGUUUAGGUUCUUUCCAUGUCUUAGCUAUUGUGAAUAGUGCUGCUACAAACAUAGGAGUGCGGGUAUCUUUUCAAGUUAGAGUUUUCUCCAGGUAUAUGCUCAGGACUGGGACUGAUGGAUCUUAUAGCAACUCUGUAUUUAGUUUUCUGAGGAGCCUCCAUACUGCUUUCCAUAGAAGCUGUACCGAUUUACAUUUCCACCAACAGUGUAGGAGGGUUUUCUUUUCUCCAUAAUCUCUUCAGCAUAUAUUGUUUGUAGACUUGAUGAUGGCUAGUCUGGCUAGUGUGAGGUGGUACCUCAUUGUAGUUUUGAUUUUCAGUUCUCUGAUUAUUAGCAAUGUCGAGCAUCUUUUCAUAUGUCUAUUGGCCAUCUGGACGUCUUUGGGGAAACGUCUGCUUAGGUAUUUAGCCCAUUUUUAAUUGGGUUUUUGUUGUUGUAUGAGCUGUUUGUAUAUUUUGGAAAUUAAGCCCUUGACUAUAACAUCAUUUGCAAAUAUUUUCUCCCAAUCCAUAGGUUAUCUUUUUGUUUUGCUUAUGGUUUCCUUUGCUGUGCAAAAGCUGAUAAGUUUGAUUAGGUCCCAUUUGUUUAUUUUUCUCUUAUUUCUAUUGCCUUGGGGGACUGACCUGAGAAAACAUUUGUACAAUUUAUGUCAGAGAAUGUCUUGCCUAUGUUCUCUUCUAGAAAUUUUAUGAUGUCAGUCUUAUAUUUAAGUUUCUAUGCCACUUCAAGUUUAUUUUUGUGCAUGGUGUGACAGUGUAUUCUAACUUCAUUUGUUACAUGCAGCUGUCCACCUUUCCCAACACCACUUGCUGAAGAGACUGUCUUUUCUCCAUUGUAUAUUCUUGCCUCUUUUGUCAAAGAUUAAUUGACCAAGGUUUAUUUCUGGGCUCUCUGUUCCAU
RNAcentral lists this long non-coding RNA (2803 nucleotides) under Sus scrofa (pig). Its description in RNAcentral is "lncRNA (ENSSSCG00050073267.1)". The record is from RNAcentral. Lineage: Eukaryota; Metazoa; Chordata; Mammalia; Artiodactyla; Suidae.